RNAcentral lists this ribosomal RNA (500 nucleotides) under uncultured Glomeromycotina. Its description in RNAcentral is "partial small subunit ribosomal RNA". It matches the Rfam family "Eukaryotic small subunit ribosomal RNA", at positions 591 to 1091 of the family's 1831-position model. Lineage: Eukaryota; Fungi; Glomeromycota. The record is from RNAcentral.
CCAAUAGCGUAUAUUAAAGUUGUUGCAGUUAAAAAGCUCGUAGUUGAAUUUCGGGAUCAAUGUUUCGGUCAUGCCGUUGGUAUGUACUGAUAUUAUUGGUUUCUCACCUUCUAAAGAACCGUAAUGCCAUUAAUUUGGUGUCACGGGGAAUUAGGACUGUUACCUUGAAAAAAUUAGAGUGUUUAAAGCAGGCUCACGCUUGAAUACAUUAGCAUGGAAUAAUGAAAUAGGACAUCCGAUUCUAUUUUGUUGGUUUCUAGGAUCGAUGUAAUGAUUAAUAGGGAUAGUUGGGGGCAUUAGUAUUCAAUUGUCAGAGGUGAAAUUCUUGGAUUUAUUGAAGACUAACUACUGCGAAAGCAUUUGCCAAGGAUGUUUUCAUUAAUCAAGAACGAAAGUUAGGGGAUCGAAGACGAUCAGAUACCGUCGUAGUCUUAACCAUAAACUAUGCCGACUAGGGAUCGGAUGAUGUCAAUUUUUUAAUGACUCAUUCGGCGCCUUAC